Molecule: long non-coding RNA, 476 nt
Organism: Melospiza melodia melodia
Lineage: Eukaryota; Metazoa; Chordata; Aves; Passeriformes; Passerellidae
Exons: 3
Source: RefSeq, a predicted model, not a curated record
UUAAAGGGAAUUUCAUGCUCGUUAUAUAUUUAGCCCAAAGCCUACAAAUGUGCUGUCACGCAGUAUCCUGAUGGAAAAAUAUGACAUCACCCAAGUCAGGACAAUGAAGAUCAUUGCUACAUACAUUCAUAUUUGUGUUGAAAGCAGAACUCUCGAAACACUGGGAAAUGUUGCGGGCUGAUGUGAUUCAUUUUCGUAUGCAGAGCCUCAAGACUGCAGUGCAAGGCCAUCUGCGCUCAGACAGACAGGCAGACACGUGUCUCCCUUUCCAAUGCCAGGAGAAGCAAACCAGCUUGUGUUCUAUAAGGAUCAGCUUCCAUGGAAGAUUCCUGAUGGCUUGCAAAGGUGACUCCUCAGAGUCUCCAGACUUCUGGACAAAGAAGAGGAGGAAAUUAUGGCAGCAGGAAAAUCUAUGCAAAUAAAUCCUCAGUAACGAGAGGGAAGUUGAGUUUCACACUGUUUGAUUUUGACUUUUA